RNAcentral lists this ribosomal RNA (481 nucleotides) under uncultured bacterium. RNAcentral describes it as "partial 16S ribosomal RNA". It matches the Rfam family "Bacterial small subunit ribosomal RNA", at positions 28 to 507 of the family's 1533-position model. The record is from RNAcentral.
GAUGAACGCUGGCGGCGUGCUUAACACAUGCAAGUCGAACGAAGCACUUUAUUUGAUUUCCUUCGGGACUGAUUAUUUUGUGACUGAGUGGCGGACGGGUGAGUAACGCGUGGGUAACCUGCCUUGUACAGGGGGAUAACAGUUGGAAACGUCUGCUAAUACCGCAUAAGCGCACAGCAUCGCAUGAUGCAGUGUGAAAAACUCCGGUGGUAUAAGAUGGACCCGCGUUGGAUUAGCUAGUUGGUGAGGUAACGGCCCACCAAGGCGACGAUCCAUAGCCGAACUGGGAGGGUGACCGGACACAUUGGGACUGAGACACGGCACAAACUCCUACGGGAGGCAGCAGUGGGGAAUAGUGCACAAUGGGCGAAAGCAUGAUGCAGCGACGACGCGUGAGCGAAGAAGUAUUUCGGUAUGUAAAGCUCUAUCAGCAGGGAAGAUAAUGACGGUACCUGACUAAGAAGCACCGGCUAAAUACGUG